AAAGCUUUAAGUUAAAAAAACUAUUAACCUUCAAAGUUAAAAUUACAUUCACUUAUGUAAGCUUUA
Molecule: transfer RNA, 66 nt
Filed under: Agriosphodrus dohrni
Lineage: Eukaryota; Metazoa; Arthropoda; Insecta; Hemiptera; Reduviidae
Description: tRNA-Trp
Source: RNAcentral